GUCACCGACGGUUUUCGAGUAAUGCAAACCCGGGAGUUCAAAGUAGGUCGAGAUUAAAGGCUAAACUGAAGUUUAAAUAUAUAGCCACAUUGAGAAAUGAAAUGAAAAGAAAAGAAGCGUAGUCCUAAUUAGGCAACUUCAUCGAAAGACCGCCAUGUGAAAAUUGGAGGUCGUGACCGUCUCAUCCGGCUUCCGGUGAGUUGUGCUUCCCAAAUAUUUCAACUGACACAAAAACUCGGUUUCAAGAUUGACAGCAAAAUUGUUGGUUGCCUCUUCCACAAUGCCUAGUUGGCCAUAGAAAUUAAAAUGAUAGCUUUCUCGACAUUUUAGAAGAGGGUCUUACUGUUAGUUUUGAAGUCAAGUUUUUUUUUGUCGACUAAAAUAAUUGAAAGC
Arabidopsis thaliana (thale cress) is the source of this 393-nucleotide long non-coding RNA. RefSeq annotates it as other RNA. The record is from RefSeq. The transcript has a single exon. Lineage: Eukaryota; Viridiplantae; Streptophyta; Magnoliopsida; Brassicales; Brassicaceae.